This 231-nucleotide ribosomal RNA is filed under the name uncultured bacterium. RNAcentral's name for it is "partial 16S ribosomal RNA". It matches the Rfam family "Bacterial small subunit ribosomal RNA", at positions 118 to 348 of the family's 1533-position model. The record is from RNAcentral.
UGAGGAACAUGACCUUCGGCGGGGGAUAGCCGGCCCAACGGCCGGGUAAUACCGCGUACGACCUUCCAGGGACAUCCCUGGAUGGUGAAAGCAGCAAUGCGCCGAUGGAGUGCCUCGCGGCCUAUCAGCUAGUUGGUGAGGUAACGGCUCACCAAGGCGACGACGGGUAGCUGGUCUGAGAGGAUGGCCAGCCACAUUGGGACUGAGACACGGCCCAGACUCCUAGGGAGG